This 301-nucleotide ribosomal RNA is filed under the name uncultured bacterium. RNAcentral describes it as "partial 16S ribosomal RNA". It matches the Rfam family "Bacterial small subunit ribosomal RNA", at positions 509 to 807 of the family's 1533-position model. The record is from RNAcentral.
CAGCAGCCACGGUAAUACGAAGGGUGCAAGCGUUAAUCGGAAUUACUGGGCGUAAAGCGUGCGUAGGCGGUUUGUUAAGUCUGUUGUGAAAUCCCCGGGCUCAACCUGGGAAUGGCAAUGGAUACUGGCAAGCUAGAGUAUGGCAGAGGGGGGUGGAAUUCCACGUGUAGCAGUGAAAUGCGUAGAGAUGUGGAGGAACACCGAUGGCGAAGGCAGCCCCCUGGGCCAAUACUGACGCUCAUGCACGAAAGCGUGGGGAGCAAACAGGAUUAGAUACCCGUGUAGUCCCUGUCUCUUAUAC